UCGGGAGUCGUCUAAUGGUAGGACAGCAGAUUCUGAAUCUGCUUAUCGGGGUUCAAGUCCCUGCUCCCGAGCAA
RNAcentral lists this transfer RNA (74 nucleotides) under Candidatus Magasanikbacteria bacterium RIFCSPHIGHO2_02_FULL_44_13. Its description in RNAcentral is "tRNA-Gln". It matches the Rfam family "tRNA". Rfam says of the family: Transfer RNA (tRNA) molecules are approximately 80 nucleotides in length. Their secondary structure includes four short double-helical elements and three loops (D, anti-codon, and T loops). The record is from RNAcentral. Lineage: Bacteria; Candidatus Magasanikiibacteriota. RNAcentral also lists the same sequence under 3 other names.